ACCCCUCACUCUCGCUCGCUCGAUUGUAGUCCCUCUCAUAGAUCUCACUCUCGCUCACUCGAUUGCAGUCCCUUUCACAGAUCGAACUCUCUAGCUGUUCUUCAUCGAUCUCUGUUGCUCGAGGGCUUUGCUCUAGUUGUUCUUCAUCGAACUCGAACUCGAACUCGAACUCGAACUCGAUCUGUUCUUCAUCAAAUCCUAGAUCCAAAAUCGAUCUGUUCUUGAACCAGAUCGAUCUCUCUUGCUCGUAUCCCAGACACAAAUAAAGAAGCUUGGGGCAUAAUCUAAUGCUACAGACGAAGAGAUUAUCAUACAGAUUCUAGGGCCUGAGCGACUUGGUCGUGUUUGAACAUAUGGAUUGGGUCCUUCUCUGAAAAAUGUCUUUAGAGGCGGAUAUAGGCAAUCACAAGAACAAACUCGUAUCAUCCAAAUGCAAGUCCAAGAGUAACUUAACCAAUAUAAAGCACAAACGGAGAUGCAAAUGAAGGAGAUUAUGGAUGCUAUGCUUAAUCAACAGAAAGUACAAAUGGAGAUGGAAAGCACAAUCCAAGCUCAACAAGCACGAAUAGAGCAAUAGGAGUCUCAACAGGCCAUGGGUGGCCUGUUGCACCAGCUGCUACACAUAUGCAUUCACAGCAUCAAUCCCAUGCAUACACCUCAUCAUUUAAUUGCCAUCGUUUGUCCGAGAAAGUUCACAUAUCAAAGAAAGAAAAGAAGAAGAAUAAGAAGAAGUAGAUGUAACAUACUCAAUGAAAGAAGGCUGCUAGAGUCUACUGAAUUCAAGGUUAGAACUGUUCCUAAUUUUAGUUUAUUUGUGAAUUUUAUUUUAUUAAUGAAAGGUGUCUCUGUUUUGUAGUUUGUUUUUUGUCUGUCAUGGUUUGAAACUUCAUUUUGAGAUUUUGUUUUGCUUAGAUUACUUGAUUCAACUUGACAAGCCUUAAUUCCAAUUACUCGGGGUUGAUUACACCCUGCAUAUAUCCAUAACUUUUUACUCAGCUUUACGUAGAGCUAGUGUGUUCUGAGUUUUGACUAGAUAAAAGGUUUGUAAUAUUCUGGAAACCCAACAACGUUGGGGUUACCAUUGGGGAUAUGUUAAAACGUUAGAAAAAUUAUUUGGUUUGUAAUUUCAAGGACCUUCGGGUAAUUAUGUGAUUCAGCCAUCCUAACGCACAAUUAGCACACAUUGUAGUCAGGUACGUAAUAUGAAUCAUAGUUUAUAAUCAUUAUUUAUAUACUUAUUAACAUCUUAUUUUGUUGUUCUUGGUCCAAGGUUUUCAAUCUAAAUAUUGGUGCUAAUUGGCAUACACCUACAAAUAUUGAACACCUUGGAGACAAGCCGACAACUCAGGUGGAAGUUUGGGUUGAUGUGACCAGUUGUGAGAAGUAGCUUUUGGAACUUCUUGAUGUAGUGAACUACUAUUAGAGUAUUGUGUAUUGUUGUUAGAUUAGCUACUAGUUGUUAAUUUGUAUCGGUGCUUAAAGCUGUUAAUUUGUAUUGGUACUUUGGAUUGAACAGUAUGUUAUCUUUGCUUCAUUGGCAUGUAUUGUUGCAAAAGCAACUGAUGGGAAUUGAGCUGGUCUGUUUUUUCAGUUUUAUAUGAUAACACACACACACAUAA
Non-coding RNA from Camellia sinensis, 1619 nucleotides. NCBI's taxonomy places the organism in Eukaryota, Viridiplantae, Streptophyta, Magnoliopsida, Ericales, Theaceae. The record is from RefSeq and is a predicted model, not a curated record.